AUUGAACGCUGGCGGCAUGCCUUACACAUGCAAGUCGAACGGUAACAGGUCUUCGGAUGCUGACGAGUGGCGAACGGGUGAGUAAUACAUCGGAACGUGCCUAGUAGUGGGGGAUAACUACUCGAAAGAGUGGCUAAUACCGCAUGAGAUCUACGGAUGAAAGCAGGGGAUCGCAAGACCUUGUGCUACUAGAGCGGCCGAUGGCAGAUUAGGUAGUUGGUGGGAUAAAAGCUUACCAAGCCGACGAUCUGUAGCUGGUCUGAGAGGAUGAUCAGCCACACUGGGACUGAGACACGGCCCAGACUCCUACGGGAGGCAGCAGUGGGGAAUUUUGGACAAUGGGCGAAAGCCUGAUCCGGCAAUGCCGCGUGCAGGAUGAAGGCCUUCGGGUUGUAAACUGCUUUUGUACGGAACGAAAAGCCCCGGGUUAAUACCCUGGGGUCAUGACGGUACCGUAAGAAUAAGCACCGGCUAACUACGUGCCAGCCGCCGCUGUAA
RNAcentral lists this ribosomal RNA (498 nucleotides) under uncultured bacterium. Its description in RNAcentral is "partial 16S ribosomal RNA". It matches the Rfam family "Bacterial small subunit ribosomal RNA", at positions 30 to 523 of the family's 1533-position model. The record is from RNAcentral.